This 1803-nucleotide long non-coding RNA is filed under the name Homo sapiens (human). RNAcentral describes it as "non-protein coding lnc-ANKRD52-3:2". Lineage: Eukaryota; Metazoa; Chordata; Mammalia; Primates; Hominidae. The record is from RNAcentral.
UUUUAAAAGCUCCUUUAUGUUCUCAUCUUCUGAGAACAGAUGAUAGGCAGCAAGAAGACAGAAACGUGGCAUAAAGGAUGAUCCAAGGCAAGAAAGGGGUCUAGUAAGCAAGGUCAGGAGGCCUAAAGAAAUUACUGUAACCAUGCUAAGAACAAGAUGGUGCUUCUGGCUGGGAAAAGGUACUAGCUGCUCACAUUAGAUGGUCCUUCAGCUUUCCAGGAGCUCGCUCUUUGGGGCCAUUGCUAUUAAAGCUAGGUUGGAGUCAUGGAGCAGAGCAUACAGGCAUCAUCAACCAGUAACCUCUCCAGCUCUGUGGAUGAGUGAACAAAAGCUGGUAAUGAGAUUAGGAUGCUUUUUUUUUUUUUUUUUUUUAGAUGGAGUCUUGCUCUGUCGCCAGGUUGGAGUGCAAUGGCGCAAUCUUGGCUCACUGCAACCUGCACCUCCAGGUUCAAGUGAUUCUGCUGCCUCAGCCUCCCAAGUAGCUAGGACUACAGAUGUGUGCCACCAUGCCCAGCUAAUUUUUGUAUUUUUAGCAGAGACGGGGUUUCACCAUGUUGGCCAGGAUGGUCUUGAUCUCUUGACCUCAUGAUCCACCCGCCUUGGCCUCCCAAAGUGCUAGGAUUAUAGGCGUGAGCCACUGUGCCUGGCCAAGAUUAGGAUGUCUUUUACAAGAGUUUAGGUAUAACUGACUGGCUAUAGGCUGGCAUGAGCCCAUAACUAGGCUAGUAAGUGGCAAAUAAGAGAACAGCAAAGUUUCCAUAAUCUGCCCCUUCUUUCUUCCCUUGGCUCUCCCUUCUUACUUCCCCACAGUGACCAUGAGGGUGGCAAUGUAAGUGCCCAUACCAGCCAUUUGGUGGGCAGUGCCCUUUCCGACCCUUACCUGUCCUUUGCAGCAGCCAUGAACGGGCUGGCAGGGCCUCUCCAUGGACUGGCAAAUCAGGAAGUGCUUGUCUGGCUAACACAGCUGCAGAAGGAAGUUGGCAAAGAUGUGUCAGAUGAGAAGUUACGAGACUACAUCUGGAACACACUCAACUCAGGACGGGUAAGCAGAGAUGCUUAACGACUAGGAAAGAAACCAAGACACAAGUUCUGCAAUUUGGAAGAAUUAAGAAAAGAAUGAAAGAGGUCCCUAAAUUAGAGAUUUUUUUUUCUUCAUUUAUCUACCUUGAAGAAUUUAGAAAAGAAUUUCUAGGUGGGCACAAUGGCAUGCACCUGUAGUCCCACCUACUUGGGAGGCUGAGGCAAGAGGAUUGCUUGAGGCCAGGAGUUUAAGGCUGCAGUGUGCUAAGAUCACUCCUGUGAAUAGCCACUACACUCCAGCCAGGACAACACAGCAAGACCCCAUUCUCUAAAAAACAGUUUUAAAUAGGUUGAGUGUGGUGGCUCACGCUUAUAAUCUUAGCACUUUGGGAGUCCAGGGUGGAUGGAUCUCGUGAGCCCAGGAGUUUGAGACCAGCCUGAGCAACACAGACCCUAUCUUUUUUUUUUUUUUUUUUUUAAAGACAGUCUUGCUCUUGUUGCCCAGGCUAGAAUGCAGUGGCGCAACCUCAGUUCACUGCAACCUCCGCCUCUCGGGUUCAAGUGAUUCUCCUGCCUCAUCCUCUCGAGUAGCUGGGAUUACAGGCAUGCGCCACCAUGCCCGGCUAAUUUUGUAUUUUUAGUAGAGACGGGGUUUCUCCGAGUUGGUCAGUUGGUCAGGCUAGUCUAGGACUCCCAACCUCAGGUGAUCUGCCCACCUCAGCCUCCCAAAGUGCUGGGAUUACAGGCAUGAGCCACCGCACACGGCCAGACCCCAUCUUUACC